This is a long non-coding RNA of Sapajus apella (tufted capuchin), 101 nucleotides long. RefSeq lists it as uncharacterized. The record is from RefSeq and is a predicted model, not a curated record. The transcript has 3 exons. NCBI's taxonomy places the organism in Eukaryota, Metazoa, Chordata, Mammalia, Primates, Cebidae.
UUCCUGAGUUUCAUAUCAGACUGAGGUGGCAAUAAGCAACUGCUUGAAAGAAAUGCCAUCAGUGUGGCAUAUUCCAUAUACAGAGUUCUUAAAGUUUAAAA